UGUGCCAGCAGCCGCGGUAAUACGUAGGGUGCAAGCGUUGUCCGGAAUUAUUGGGCGUAAAGAGCUCGUAGGCGGUUUGUUGCGUCGGCUGUGAAAACCUGAGGCUCAACCUCAGGCCUGCAGUCGAUACGAGCAGACUAGAGUGUUGCAGGGGAGACUGGAAUUCCUGGUGUAGCGGUGAAAUGCGCAGAUAUCAGGAGGAACACCGGUGGCGAAGGCGGGUCUCUGGGCAACAACUGACGCUGAGGAGCGAAAGCGUGGGGAGCGAACAGGAUUAGAUA
This 281-nucleotide ribosomal RNA is filed under the name uncultured Actinomycetales bacterium. Its description in RNAcentral is "partial 16S ribosomal RNA". It matches the Rfam family "Bacterial small subunit ribosomal RNA", at positions 504 to 784 of the family's 1533-position model. The record is from RNAcentral. Lineage: Bacteria; Bacillati; Actinomycetota; Actinomycetes; Actinomycetales.